AAGUCGUAACAAGGUUUCCGUAGGUGAACCUGCGGAAGGAUCAUUAACACUUUUAUUCCCAUUUUUUCCUGUUCCUUUUUUCACAAAAAAAAGGAGGGAGAAAGGGAACCAAUUACUCUAUCCAAAUUUUGAAGAGCGAGUGGGAAAGUGAGGUUGUCGGGAUCAACGCCCGGCAACUGAAUAUUCCCCAACCCCUUUUUCUCUUUUUUAUCUUUUUCAUUUAACUCCAAACAAACCACUUUUGAUAACAUUUUCGACAUGAUCUAAACAAACAAAAAAUAAGCCAAAAACAACUCUUAGCAACGGAUAUCUUGGCUCUC
Molecule: unclassified non-coding RNA, 320 nt
Filed under: fungal sp.
Lineage: Eukaryota; Fungi
Description: partial internal transcribed spacer region
Rfam family: Eukaryotic small subunit ribosomal RNA (bases 1-46)
Source: RNAcentral